UCCAAUUUGAUGACCCUUAGUUACCUGCACUUCCCUUCUGCUGAAAUUAAUUCUCAGAAGUAUCAUUUGCUAGAAUGGUCUAGAUGCUUGAGACAUGAUCUAAUAUCCCUUCAGUCUAACAGUUGUCAUGGGUCCUUGCAUCAUGGGUACAAGUUCUAUGUCCAGGAGAGAGAGGGGGACUUCUAGACUUGACACUUCUUUCUUGCAGCUAUCUUUUAGCAACAAACUCUCCUUCUUGGUUAUUUUUUUACACACAAGUUCAUCACCUUGCUGUGAGAUUAGCAUGUGUUCGAUUCUUGGAAAGGAACAGAUCAGUUUUUGUUGAGUUUGUUGAAAGUCAGUUUGAUGAAUAUUUGGAAAACUUGAGAAAUCCAAAUG
Limulus polyphemus (Atlantic horseshoe crab) is the source of this 378-nucleotide long non-coding RNA. RefSeq lists it as uncharacterized. NCBI's taxonomy places the organism in Eukaryota, Metazoa, Arthropoda, Merostomata, Xiphosura, Limulidae. The record is from RefSeq and is a predicted model, not a curated record. The transcript has 3 exons.